UGUUCGCCGUCCUUGUAACUAUCGCGGUUCUGGCGCCGAUGGCCCUGGCAGGUCGUGACGCCGCGCCCGUGGUCAAGGUGGCGGAAGGGCGUGUGUCGGGCGUGACGGAGACCUCCACGAAGGGCAGGGACUUCCACUCCUACUACGGCGUCCCCUUCGCCAAGCCUCCUGUGGGAAGACUAAGGCUUAAGGACCCGGUGAAGGCAGAGGGGUGGGGGGGCGUGAGGGACGGAUCCAGGGCGCCCUCGCCUUGCCUCCUCGUGCCCUUGGCUUAUGCUGCCAUGGGCGUGACUUUGGCUCCGGAAGACCUGCAUGGGAGCGAGGACUGCUUGUACCUCAACGUUUUCACGCCGAAGAUGGAAACCUCAGAGAACCUCCCUGUGAUGGUGUGGAUCCACGGGGGAGCUUACCUGGCGGGGGGCGCUCGCGAGUACUUGCCUCACGUCCUCCUGAACCACGACAUUGUGCUCGUCGUGUUGCAAUAUCGAGUCGGUAUCAUGGGAUUCCUGUCCACAGAGGAUGAGGUGAUUCCAGGGAACUUUGGGCUGAAGGACCAGACCCUCGCCCUCCGCUGGGUGCAGGACAACAUCCACAACUUCGGAGGAGACGCCAAUAGGGUCACCAUCUUCGGCGAGAGUGCUGGGGGCGCCUCUGUCCAUUAUCAUAUAUUGUCACCCAAAUCUAAAGGUCUCUUCUCUCGUGCCAUCAUGCAGUCAGGGUCGGCCUUAGCGCCAUGGGCACACCACGAGCAACACAGACAUAUGGCAGAGGAAGUUAGCAAAGCUGUUGGCUGCUCCAAAGCCUUCGGUCGCAAGGAUAUUCUUGACUGUCUCCAGAAGGUAGAUGGUCGCAGGCUGGCCGCAAGGUUCCAAGAUUUCAUGGAAUGGUUCAUCUUGCCAACGGUUGCUUUGCCUCUUGUUGAUGGGGACUUUAUACCGGAUCACCCCGCGCGUUUGAUGCGUGACGGAGACUUCAACCAAGUGGAGCUCAUGGCUGGAAUCACAAAAGACGAAGGAGCUCUAGUAACAAAUCCAAUGCUAGCCCGAAAGGACCUCUUCCCUGCCUUACAAAACAACUUUUCCGUCUUCGGCCCAGUUAGCCUCAUGGUCGGGCCUGAAGUCGAAGAUGCUGUUGCCUUCAGCACCAAGGUCUACCAACACUACCUUGGCAACUCAACUAUCGAUCAUGACCACAUAAAAGAGCUCACCAAGAUGAACACAGACUACAGUUUUGCCGUACCACAUGACCUGGCAACCCUCUACCACGCUCGGGUUCCAGGUCUUGCUACUUACCGCUACGAGCUCAAGCACCGAUCCCAGCUGUCCAUGGGAGAUUUCUUCAACACAGACAUAGGGCGUCACUGGAUUCCUCACGGGGACGACCUGUACUACCUGUUCGCCGGCGGGCCGCUCCUCAGCCCCGGCCGCCUGCCCGACCGCCUGCCUGACCUGCAGAGCCAAGAGGACCUGCGCCUCAGGGACAUCAUCACGACCACGUGGACGAACUUCGCUGCCACGGGCAACCCCACCCCCGACGACGCCCUGGGCUUCAAGUGGGAGGCGGCGACCGAGGACGACCUCCGCUACCUCGCCCUCACGCCCUCGCCCGCCAUGGAGGCCGACCAGCGACAGGAGGUGCGUGGAUUUUAUCCUUCUCUGCCAACGAAGAUGAAUCAAAUAUUCUAUGCUGAUCGUGGCAUCUCCAGGGAAGAACUUUCGCGUCGCUCAUGUCAGGAAGAACUGUGAAUCCAUUAUUAGGUGCCACGUGCAAUGCAUCGUGUCAUUCUGAUUAUUGUAACGCUACGGUGCGUUUCUCAUUUUGCAGUAGUUCGUUUUGUUUCCCGAGGGCCAUGGGGGAGGGGAACUUCCUUUUCUCUGUUUCUUUCUUUCAUUCUCUCUAUCUCGCUCCAUCUAUCUGUAGCUCUCGUUCUCUAUCUGUCUAUCUAUUCAUCAUCUUCAUUCUCUCUCUCUCUCUCUCUCUCUCUCUCU
RNA transcript from Penaeus indicus, 1988 nucleotides. It is a transcript of the gene named cholinesterase 2-like, with no coding region annotated. The record is from RefSeq and is a predicted model, not a curated record. NCBI's taxonomy places the organism in Eukaryota, Metazoa, Arthropoda, Malacostraca, Decapoda, Penaeidae. The transcript has 12 exons.